UGGAUCAGAACGAACCUGGCGGCGUGCCUAACACAUGCAAGUCGAACGCGAAAGUCCCGCAAGGGAUCAGUAGAGUGGCAAACGGGUGAGUAACACGUGGGUGACCUGCCUUCGAGCGGGGGAUAACGUCCCGAAAGGGACGCUAAUACCGCAUGACAUCCCACCUUUUAACAGGUGGAGAUCAAAGCCGGGGAUCGCAAGACCUGGCACUCGAAGAGGGGCCCGCGUCUGAUUAGCUAGUUGGUGAGGUAAUGGCUCACCAAGGCGAGGAUAAAUAGCCGGCCUGAGAGGGCGGACGGCCACACUGGGAUUGAUCCUCGGCCCAGAGAACUACGGGAGGC
RNAcentral lists this ribosomal RNA (341 nucleotides) under uncultured Acidobacteriota bacterium. RNAcentral describes it as "bacterial SSU rRNA". It matches the Rfam family "Bacterial small subunit ribosomal RNA", at positions 20 to 352 of the family's 1533-position model. The record is from RNAcentral. Lineage: Bacteria; Pseudomonadati; Acidobacteriota.